GCCUGACUGGCUCAAUUGGUAGGGCAUGCAACUCUUGAUCUCACGGUCUUGAGUUCAAGCCCCAUGUUGGGCA
This 73-nucleotide transfer RNA is filed under the name Ailuropoda melanoleuca (giant panda). It matches the Rfam family "tRNA". From Rfam's summary of the family: Transfer RNA (tRNA) molecules are approximately 80 nucleotides in length. Their secondary structure includes four short double-helical elements and three loops (D, anti-codon, and T loops). The record is from Rfam by way of RNAcentral. Lineage: Eukaryota; Metazoa; Chordata; Mammalia; Carnivora; Ursidae.